Cyanistes caeruleus (blue tit) is the source of this 2598-nucleotide non-coding RNA. The record is from RefSeq and is a predicted model, not a curated record. NCBI's taxonomy places the organism in Eukaryota, Metazoa, Chordata, Aves, Passeriformes, Paridae.
UGGUGUUGUAGGUCAGAGAGCUGAUGCUGAGGAUGACACUUCCAAGGUGUCUCCAAGUGAGAACCGCAAUAGCUGCACCUGGGCUCAGUGGGAGAGAAGCCUGGUCUGAGUGUGAGUGAAGGAGCAGUGAAUCCAGGAGGCUUCCCUUGUGUGGUGAAGAUGGACAACUACUGACAGAGGACACUGCAACAAAAGUAGCAGGAGAGGAUUACAUUUGAUUUUAGCAGAGUACAGUGUGAAAACUGAGCGAAGAAGCUAUUUCUAGAAGAAAGCAGCAUGUGUAACAGCAAUAAGAGUAAGAAUCAGUCUUGCCCUUCUAACUCCAACUCCAUCUGCUGAUCACUCAUAUGAGAGUUCUAACAUCAGAGCUGCUUCCGAGCAUUGUUGAAGAUGUGGAACAGUAAAAUCUUUUUUGUCAAGCCUCCAAGACCAAAUAGCACCAGAGAUGAAAUUUUGAAUAUGUUGGUAACACUGCUCUAUUGAUCUCAAAACAUUUUACAAACAUUAACUAAUUAAGCUUUAAAACAACAAAAUAAGUUUGCAUUAAUGACACCCAUUUAGCAGAUCAAGAAGUGGAGGUAAACAAAGGGUAAGUGAAAUGUCCAGUCAAGUGAUGAGUGAAGGUCAGAGGAAGGUCUCCUGUUUUCUAUUUGUUCCGCUUUUAUUGUGAUCUCAUUGAAAAAAAUUUUGCAGUGGAGCUUGCAGCCAUUUCAGUUUGAAACAUUUGGACAUUUUAUCACAAUCUUGAGCUUUUCUUGCAAGAAUCAAGGUAAUAUAAAAGCUCAUAAAAGUAAUAAACGUUUUUAGGCUCUCUGGUCCAGCUUUGAUUUUCAAAAGGCAAUUUCUUAUAGUGGAAUGGGGCCAGCAGUGGUUGUGGGGUUUUCUGUGUUGUGAGCCUUUUUUUCUCAUUUGCGUUUUUCUGGUGGUGCUAGAUGGACAGAAAAGUGCCUUAACCUUCAAAAUGGGAGUCCCUUCAUGUGGGCUUUACACUGAUGUCAUGCAUCUAUCCCACCCUUCCUAUGGGAGGACUAAGGCCUUCUCAGGGGAUUGCUCUGCUCUGGUGAGCACAGCCAGUCCCUGAGCCUCAGGGGCUCUUACAGAGUAGAAUGGCUUAGAGUCAGUGGAGCAACCCUGGAUUAAAAUCAGUGUUAAAAAGUGGGGGAUCAGGCACACAGUAAGUGAAUCAUACACAGCAGUGCUGACCCUCACAGAGAAUGAUGGCUUAGAGCAGAUUCCUUGGAGACCUUAGGUUAUCCUUGGAAAGGGAGGCCUCAAAGCCAAGCCUUAUACUUUCUUAAUGGGUUUCAUUAGGAAGAAAUAAAAGGAACUGAAAAAAAAGAAAAUGUAGCUUAAAAAGGAACAGCUUCGGUACAGUCUAAAAUUUGUUCCAUUUUUCAAUAAAAGAAGCCAAUGCUGCCUUGAAAUUCAUGUCCCUUCAAAGUUCAAGGAGGCCUGUAUUGUUGGCCUGCUCAGUCAGAACGCUCCAGCCACUUAUUGUAUGUGGAAUGCACUCCAGGGAGUGACUGAAAAAAUAUGAUUUAGUGAAAGCUUGUACCCAAAACACAUCAUUGGCCUCUGAUCUCUGAACAUUUAAAUAUUUCAAGCUUACAAGCGGACGCUGUCACGAGGACAGACCCUGAUCCCUAGCUGAUUCUAGAACAUCUGUUGAGGCAUUUACCAAGUUAAUAGAUUAGCUAUGAGAAUCAGGCAGGUGUUUUUCACCAAAGCCAGAAAACAUCAAAAUCAGAUUGCCCUCCAAGUCUUUCAGCACAGGCAAUCGAGUUAGAAUGACUCAUAGAGUCUAACAGAUAAUAAAACACACAUAACAUUUGCUUUAAGGUACAGGUGGGGAUAUUUUGUACUGCACUUAGGAGAAAGAAAAACUAACUCUAUUUGGGAAUAGAGUAAUUGAAUACAGAUGGGAGGAGGCAAAUGAAAGAAUUUAGCAAAUAUCUCAGUGGAAUAGCUAAUGGGAACGAGACAGAAUAGGAAAUUAAAAAUUAUUCGAAGCAGAUGGACCAUUCUUUGAGUUUUUUAAAAUUUAUUAGGGCUGCGAAAAAAAUGUGUCUGUUUAUUUUCCACGGCCAUGAAAUUAAUGACUUGGUGAGUUGUGCUUGUGCAAUUUUAUGACUGCCAUGUCAUUUGUCAUAAUUUGGGUUCUGUUUGAUAUGGAUUUAUGAAUAUUUCCUCCCCCCAGCAUGAUUUAUGGGUGUUGGUCAUAUGUGAAUUAGACUGUCACCUUUAGUAUGAAAAAGUACAAAUGACAGAUUAUAAAAAAAAAAAGUGCUCAAGUCCUUAGUGCUGGAAAGCAGAGUUCACGAUUCCCUGCUCUGCUUCUUCAUUGGAAGUUUUUGUUUGGAGCUGACGAUUAAAUGUUUGGACUUGAGUCAAGCAUAUGGAAACAUUGAGAGGGCUUGAAUAGAUCUGAACUCAUCUGAACUUCACCUGUGAAACUCAGCUUGAGUCAUCCUUUCCUUGUAUUAUGCAUUGAAAAUAAAAAAUCUGUAUGCUACUUGCUGUAGGAACAACUGAUUUACUGUACCAGAGCAGCAAGUUGGCCUUGAAAAUUUGCUGUCCUGCUUCCAGUAGUGGCUAGCU